GGAGCGGUAGUUCAGUUGGUUAGAAUACCGGCCUGUCACGCCGGGGGUCGGGGUUCGAGUCCCGUCCGCUCCCC
Molecule: transfer RNA, 74 nt
Filed under: Halieaceae bacterium
Lineage: Bacteria; Pseudomonadati; Pseudomonadota; Gammaproteobacteria; Cellvibrionales; Halieaceae
Description: tRNA-Asp
Rfam family: tRNA
About the family: Transfer RNA (tRNA) molecules are approximately 80 nucleotides in length.
Source: RNAcentral